AGAGUUUGAUCCUGGCUCAGGAUGAACGCUGGCGGCGUGCUUAACACAUGCAAGUCGAACGAACCUUCGGGUUAGUGGCGGACGGGUGAGUAACGCGUGGGAAUCUGCCCUCAGGAGGGGGAUAACGGUUGGAAACGACCGCUAAUACCCCAUAUGCCGAGAGGUGAAAUGAAUUUCGCCUGAGGAUGAGCCCGCGUCUGAUUAGCUUGUUGGUGAGGUAAUGGCUCACCAAGGCAUCGAUCAGUAGCUGGUCUGAGAGGAUGAUCAGCCACACUGGGACUGAGACACGGCCCAGACUCCUACGGGAGGCAGCAGUGGGGAAUUUUCCGCAAUGGGCGAAAGCCUGACGGAGCAACGCCGCGUGAGGGACGAAGGCCUCUGGGCUGUAAACCUCUUUUCUCAAGGAAGAAGAUAUGACGGUACUUGAGGAAUAAGCCACGGCUAAUUCCGUGCCAGCAGCCGCGGUAAUACGGGAGUGGCAAGCGUUAUCCGGAAUUAUUGGGCGUAAAGCGUCCGCAGGCGGCCUUUCAAGUCUGCUGUUAAAAAGUGGAGCUUAACUCCAUCAUGGCAGUGGAAACUGAUUGGCUUGAGUAUGGUAGGGGCAGAGGGAAUUCCCGGUGUAGCGGUGAAAUGCGUAGAUAUCGGGAAGAACACCAGUGGCGAAGGCGCUCUGCUGGGCCAUUACUGACGCUCAUGGACGAAAGCCAGGGGAGCGAAAGGGAUUAGAUACCCCUGUAGUCCUGGCCGUAAACGAUGAACACUAGGUGUCGGGGGAAUCGACCCCUUCGGUGUCGUAGCUAACGCGUUAAGUGUUCCGCCUGGGGAGUACGCACGCAAGUGUGAAACUCAAAGGAAUUGACGGGGGCCCGCACAAGCGGUGGAGUAUGUGGUUUAAUUCGAUGCAACGCGAAGAACCUUACCAGGGCUUGACAUCCUGCGAACCUUUAAGAAAUUAGAGGGUGCCUUCGGGAACGCAGUGACAGGUGGUGCAUGGCUGUCGUCAGCUCGUGUCGUGAGAUGUUGGGUUAAGUCCCGCAACGAGCGCAACCCACGUUUUUAGUUGCCAGCAUUCAGUUGGGCACUCUAGAAAGACCGCCGGUGAUAAACCGGAGGAAGGUGUGGAUGACGUCAAGUCAUCAUGCCCCUUACGUCCUGGGCUACACACGUACUACAAUGCUACGGACAAAGGGCAGCAAACUCGCGAGAGCUAGCAAAUCCCAUAAACCGUGGCUCAGUUCAGAUCGUAGGCUGCAACUCGCCUACGUGAAGUAGGAAUCGCUAGUAAUCGCAGGUCAGCAUACUGCGGUGAAUACGUUCCCGGGCCUUGUACACACCGCCCGUCACACCAUGGAAGUUGGCCACGCCCGAAGUCGUUACUUUAACCCUUGUGGAGAAGGACGCCGAAGGUGGGGCUGAUGACUGGGGUGAAGUCGUAACAAGGUAGCCGUACCGGAAGGUGCGGCUG
RNAcentral lists this ribosomal RNA (1465 nucleotides) under Prochlorococcus sp. AG-341-N05. RNAcentral's name for it is "bacterial SSU rRNA". It matches the Rfam family "Bacterial small subunit ribosomal RNA". RNAcentral also lists the same sequence under 1 other name. Lineage: Bacteria; Bacillati; Cyanobacteriota; Cyanophyceae; Synechococcales; Prochlorococcaceae. The record is from RNAcentral.